Molecule: long non-coding RNA, 1191 nt
Organism: Homo sapiens (human)
Lineage: Eukaryota; Metazoa; Chordata; Mammalia; Primates; Hominidae
Product: long intergenic non-protein coding RNA 929
Source: Ensembl
AGACAGAUGAUUCCCCAGUCCCGGAACACUCUCGGCCCUCUUCAGCCACUCCCUCCCCAACCCACACGCCAUCAACCUCCAGACCCUCUCGCCGUGGCUUAGAGGUGUCUCUGACAACGUGGCACACUGGGAAGGCCUUCUUUCCUGCUACCAAUACAAAUGCAUUCUGAAUUUGAUAUGUCAUUAAAUGUAAAAAUACAGCCAAUUUGAAACAAGCAAAUGGAAAUUCCCAGGAACCAAAAACAGAAAGAAAAAUCAGAGCUACCGCAGUGCUGUCCCUGCAGACAGAAUUUGGGAGAGGUACUCAGAGUCACCUCCUGUGAGCCUAUGCAAGCCAGCUCCUGCACAACCCUGGUUUUAGUCCAGGUAAAGGCCCGCCCAGGUGUUUGAAUAUGGACUCCUCACAUACUUCUGCAGACUCCAGCUUUGGGUUGACCCAUCGGGGAGAGGGAACUUAGCAUGAACCCUUGUAUAAAAAUGAAAAUCUCUUUCAUUGGAAGGGAAGAUCACUGACUGGGCUAGUCUCCCAAGACCUAGGAAAGAGCUUGGCUGUCAGAGGGUGAGCUAGGGAACGAACUGUGCUUGUUGAUAUCCACAUCCAAGGCUGAUGGCCGGAGGAGGCAGUUAAGAGCAAAAGGCAAUGGACCAAACUACAUCAAAGAUGGGAUUAUAACAAAACUUUAAAAGUUGGUUUACAAUGCAGAAAAUUCAUUCUUCUGGAAACAGACUUGAAAAAAAUAAAAUAUUUACUCUACCUUUCUUGUUCAGAACCAUGCCUUAGGCCUUCUGCAGAAUUCCACAUUAAACAGGAUGAAGAAUAGGUUGUUAGCAGACUGAGGUACUUGGGGCAACAUUUCGUACACAACAGGAGGGAGAAACGACUCCAGGUUGUCUUGUGGUAGAGGAGAUUUUGCCUUGCAAUUUUACAUACUUAUGCUACGUGGAAGGCUGGGUGGCGUGACUUCAGAAAAAUGUUUCCUCAGGAAAGAGACACACAGAGAGAGAGAGAAAGAGAGAAAGAGAGAACCCACCUACCUGUUUUGCAAAAGUCUCAUGAAUCAUCCCUUCCUGUGGUCCUGCUCCCUGAGAUCCUUUCACCGCUCACAGUGGGCUACUUCUAAGAGCGUGCCUGGCACAGGGUCACUGAGAGCAUAGUCUUAAUAAAACAAUGAUGGAUGCUUGUCUCUCUCA